This 492-nucleotide ribosomal RNA is filed under the name uncultured bacterium. Its description in RNAcentral is "partial 16S ribosomal RNA". It matches the Rfam family "Bacterial small subunit ribosomal RNA", at positions 29 to 507 of the family's 1533-position model. The record is from RNAcentral.
AGUGAACGCUGGCGGUAUGCCUAACACAUGCAAGUCGAACGGCAGCACAGUAAGAGCUUGCUCUUACGGGUGGCGAGUGGCGGACGGGUGAGGAAUACAUCGGCAUCUACUUUUUCGUGGGGGAUAACGUAGGGAAACUUACGCUAAUACCGCAUACGACCUACGGGUGAAAGCAGGGGAUCUUCGGACCUUGCGCGAUUGAAUGAGCCGAUGUCGGAUUAGCUAGUUGGCGGGGUAAAGGCCCACCAAGGCGACGAUCCGUAGCUGGUCUGAGAGGAUGAUCAGCCACACUGGAACUGAGACACGGUCCAGACUCCUACGGGAGGCAGCAGUGGGGAAUAUUGGGCAAUGGGCGAAAGCCUGAUCCAGCCAUACCGCGUGGGUGAAGAAGGCCUUCGGGUUGUAAAGCCCUGUUGUUGGGAAAGAAAAGCAGCAUGUUAAUACCCCGCUGUUCUGACGGUACCCAAAGAAUAAGCACCGGCUAACUUCGUG